GAUGAACGCUGGCGGCGUGCCUAAUACAUGCAAGUCGAGCGAACAGACGAGGAGCUUGCUCCUCUGACGUUAGCGGCGGACGGGUGAGUAACACGUGGAUAACCUACCUAUAAGACUGGGAUAACUUCGGGAAACCGGAGCUAAUACCGGAUAAUAUAUUGAACCGCAUGGUUCAAUAGUGAAAGACGGUUUUGCUGUCACUUAUAGAUGGAUCCGCGCCGCAUUAGCUAGUUGGUAAGGUAACGGCUUACCAAGGCAACGAUGCGUAGCCGACCUGAGAGGGUGAUCGGCCACACUGGAACUGAGACACGGUCCAGACUCCUACGGGAGGCAGCAGUAGGGAAUCUUCCGCAAUGGGCGAAAGCCUGACGGAGCAACGCCGCGUGAGUGAUGAAGGUCUUCGGAUCGUAAAACUCUGUUAUUAGGGAAGAACAAAUGUGUAAGUAACUAUUCACGUCUUGACGUUACCUAAUCAGAAAGCCACGGCUAACUACGUG
This 497-nucleotide ribosomal RNA is filed under the name uncultured bacterium. RNAcentral's name for it is "partial 16S ribosomal RNA". It matches the Rfam family "Bacterial small subunit ribosomal RNA", at positions 28 to 507 of the family's 1533-position model. The record is from RNAcentral.